RNAcentral lists this ribosomal RNA (404 nucleotides) under uncultured bacterium. RNAcentral's name for it is "bacterial SSU rRNA". It matches the Rfam family "Bacterial small subunit ribosomal RNA", at positions 355 to 772 of the family's 1533-position model. The record is from RNAcentral.
UUAGGAAUCUUGCGCAAUGGGCGAAAGCCUGACGCAGCGACGCCGCGUGGAGGAGGAAGUCCUUCGGGAUGUAAACUCCUUUUUCCGGGGAAGAAACAAAUGACGGUACCCGGUGAAUAAGCCCCGGCUAACUACGUGCCAGCAGCCGCGGUAAUACGUAGGGGGCGAGCGUUGUCCGAAGUUACUGGGCGUAAAGCGCGCGUAGGCGGGGGGUUAAGUGAGAGGUGAAAGGCUGAGGCUCAACCUCAUGCAGUGCCUCUCAUACUGGCCUUCUUGAGGGCGGUAGGGAGAAGUGGAAUGGCUGGUGUAGCGGUGAAAUGCGUAGAUAUCAGUCGGAACACCGGUGGCGAAGGCGGCUUCUUGGGCCGUUCCUGACGCUGAGGCGCGAAAGCUGGGGGAGCGAA